This is a transfer RNA of 86 nucleotides. It matches the Rfam family "tRNA". From Rfam's summary of the family: Transfer RNA (tRNA) molecules are approximately 80 nucleotides in length. Their secondary structure includes four short double-helical elements and three loops (D, anti-codon, and T loops). Further hydrogen bonds mediate the characteristic L-shaped molecular structure. tRNAs have two regions of fundamental functional importance: the anti-codon, which is responsible for specific mRNA codon recognition, and the 3' end, to which the tRNAs corresponding amino acid is attached (by aminoacyl-tRNA synthetases). tRNAs cope with the degeneracy of the genetic code in two manners: having more than one tRNA (with a specific anti-codon) for a particular amino acid; and 'wobble' base-pairing, i.e. permitting non-standard base-pairing at the 3rd anti-codon position.
GCAGGGAUACCCAAGCCCGGUCUAAGGGGCUAGCUUCAGACGCUAGUGGCUUAGUGCCUUCAGCGGUUCAAAUCCGCUUCCCUGCA